AAAGAAACCACCUCAUUUUCUGUUAUAUAUUGCUGGCAAAUUGCCAGCAAACUCUCAAAAGUUAUGAGAUGAGUCGAGUCUUUCAUGGAUGUUGAAGUACUAAGCUCCAGUACCUACAAAUGUGAUGGUAUCUGGAAACAGUCUUUGUAGUGGACAUGAGGGCAUUAGGUUGGGCCCUAUCCCAUAUGACUGGAGUCCUUAUAAAAGGGGACACUUUGGACACAGAGACAGAUAUGGGUAGUGGGAACAUGAUAUGAAGACACACACACAGACUGCCAUUACAGGAAGGAGUAAUACACUAGGAGCCAAGGAGCUCCAAGGAUUGCCAGCCACCACCAGAAGAUAGGAGGUGGCUGGGAACAGAUUCUCCCUACAGCUCUCUGAAGGAACCAACCCUGCCAAGACCUCCAUCUCAGACUUGCAGCUUCCAGAACUGUGAGACAAUCUAUUUCUGUUGCUUAAGCCACCAGGUUUGUGCUACUUCAUGAUGGCAGUCAUAGCAGACUAACCUCGGCCCCCAACCAGAGCAGGGUCUUGCCUUGGACAAGCUCCUGACACCCCUGGAAAAACAGCAUUGGCAUAGCAUGUGCCAAGAUCAUAGGACGAGGAUGGGACCAGGGCAAUGUCACUUUUGUUUUUCAAGUCUCCUUCCUACAGAGGGAGGGAGGAAAUGCCUCUGUGGGCCUUGGUGGCCACAGUUCAGCAAUCCAGAUGCUGCCCUCCCGGACUCUGCCCCAGCUCAAAGCACUGGCUGAUCCCUAUAAAGGGCCGCCCCUAGCGAGUACGUGUGACCUGG
RNAcentral lists this long non-coding RNA (796 nucleotides) under Marmota monax (woodchuck). The record is from RNAcentral. Lineage: Eukaryota; Metazoa; Chordata; Mammalia; Rodentia; Sciuridae.